This 161-nucleotide ribosomal RNA is filed under the name uncultured bacterium. RNAcentral describes it as "partial 16S ribosomal RNA". It matches the Rfam family "Bacterial small subunit ribosomal RNA", at positions 355 to 511 of the family's 1533-position model. The record is from RNAcentral.
UAGGGAAUCUUCCACAAUGGGCGCAAGCCUGAUGGAGCAACGCCGCGUGUGUGAUGAAGGCUUCGGUCGUAAGCUCUGUUGUUAAAGAAGAACACGUAUGAGAGUAACUGUUCAUACGUUGACGGUAUUUAACCAGAAAGUCACGGCUAACUACGUGCCAG